RNAcentral lists this long non-coding RNA (268 nucleotides) under Dasypus novemcinctus (nine-banded armadillo). Its description in RNAcentral is "lncRNA (ENSDNOG00000050306.1)". Lineage: Eukaryota; Metazoa; Chordata; Mammalia; Cingulata; Dasypodidae. The record is from RNAcentral.
UCCAAGUUUUCUGUUUUGGUACUCUUCUUGGCAUUUUAGGCUUACUGCGCAUCUGCUUCUCUGCCUGAAAAACCUGCAGUCCUCUGGAACUCCAGGCUCCACAGUGAAACGGGAUCGACCAGCAUUUACCAGUCAAGAGAUAUCAUGUACCAGUUCAUUGGACUCCCUCCAGGACAACUAACAAGGAGAUGAUGAUGGACAACUACCAUCCCAAGGAACAGAGAGAGUCUUCAACUGCAAGCAAGAUAGUCUCAUCCAUCUGCCCCAU